This 427-nucleotide ribosomal RNA is filed under the name uncultured bacterium. RNAcentral describes it as "partial 16S ribosomal RNA". It matches the Rfam family "Bacterial small subunit ribosomal RNA", at positions 355 to 774 of the family's 1533-position model. The record is from RNAcentral.
UGGGGAAUAUUGGACAAUGGGGGCAACCCUGAUCCAGCCAUGCCGCGUGUGUGAAGAAGGCCUUUUGGUUGUAAAGCACUUUAAGCAGUGAAGAAGACUCCAUGGUUAAUACCCAUGGACGAUGACAUUAGCUGCAGAAUAAGCACCGACUAACUCUGUGCCAGCAGCCGCGGUAAUACAGAGGGUGCAAGCGUUAAUCGGAAUUACUGGGCGUAAAGCGAGCGUAGGUGGCUUGAUAAGUCAGAUGUGAAAGCCCCGGGCUUAACCUGGGAACGGCAUCUGAUACUGUUAGGCUAGAGUAGGUGAGAGGAAGGUAGAAUUCCAGGUGUAGCGGUGAAAUGCGUAGAGAUCUGGAGGAAUACCGAUGGCGAAGGCAGCCUUCUGGCAUCAUACUGACACUGAGGUUCGAAAGCGUGGGUAGCAAACA